CAGGUUAGUUUUAAAUUUCAUAUAAACAGUGGAUAAAUUUUUAGUAUAAGUAUAUCCCAUGCAAUAUUUGGGACAUACUUAUACUAAAAAAGUAUUCAUGGUGUAUCUGAAACUUAAAUUUAGGUGGGUGU
This 131-nucleotide microRNA precursor is filed under the name Otolemur garnettii (small-eared galago). RNAcentral describes it as "miRNA (ENSOGAG00000021127.2)". The stretch from base 38 to 89 matches the Rfam family "mir-1302 microRNA precursor family". The record is from RNAcentral. Lineage: Eukaryota; Metazoa; Chordata; Mammalia; Primates; Galagidae.